Molecule: small RNA, 29 nt
Filed under: Bombyx mori (domestic silkworm)
Lineage: Eukaryota; Metazoa; Arthropoda; Insecta; Lepidoptera; Bombycidae
Description: ovarian small RNA-35648
Source: RNAcentral
UGUCAUGACGGGGGGAACGAAGGGUGUUU